AGUGAAUAGAUACCCCGGUAGUCCACGCUGUAAACGAUGGGCACUAGGUGUCGCGGGUAUUGACCCCUGCGGUGCCGCAGCUAACGCAUUAAGUGCCCCGCCUGGGGACUACGGCCGCAAGGUUAAAACUCAAAGGAAUUGACGGGGGCCCGCACAAGCGGUGGAGCAUGUGGUUCAAUUCGACGCAACGCGAAGAACCUUACCCGGGCUAGACAACAGAGGACCGUCUUAGAAAUAGGACCUUCCCUUCGGGGACCUCUGGUUCAGGUGCUGCAUGGCUAUCGUCAGCUCGUGUCGUGAGAUGUUGGGUUAAGUCCCGCAACGAGCGCAACCCUUGCCUCUAGUUGCCAUCAUUUAGUUGGGCACUCUAGAGGGACUGCCCGUGUCAAACGGGAGGAAGGCGGGGAUGACGUCAAGUCCUCAUGGCCCUUAUGUCCGGGGCUACACACGUGCUACAAUGGGCGGUACAAAGGGUCGCAGACCCGCGAGGGGGAGCCAAUCCCAAAAAGCCGCUCUCAGUUCGGAUUGGAGUCUGCAACUCGACUCCAUGAA
RNAcentral lists this ribosomal RNA (552 nucleotides) under uncultured bacterium. Its description in RNAcentral is "bacterial SSU rRNA". It matches the Rfam family "Bacterial small subunit ribosomal RNA", at positions 773 to 1324 of the family's 1533-position model. The record is from RNAcentral.